AGACUUCCCAGCUGCCUCCAGCAUUCUUUUGUCUCUUGUUCCAAAAAGGCAAAAAUGGCCUUUUCCAGCGGCUGCUCCCUCGAAGUCUCCAUAGCAGCCCUACUGUGUGUGGGAUUUGUCAGUGGGCCACCAUAAUGCAUGAAGAGGCCUCAAACCAAGGCCAGAGUAGGGAGGACACUGCCGGGGCUCUGCAAGAGGCAGCAAAGCCCACUUCAGCAUCCCUAUCGUGGUGACGUUGGGACAUCACCUGACCAGGCCCAUCUCAGCUAUUGUUUGCUAAAGGAGACAGAUCUCCUAUGGGGUGAAGACCCUGGGGUCCAGAGGUCAGAAGGAACUGUCCAACGUCAAACCAAACCAAACCCUUCAGGAGAAGAAAGAUCUGGUGGCCUAUUCUGCAUGCUGCUUCAGGCUGCCACUGUCCUGAUGGACUGUGACAUCCUUGAAGUGGGAGCUGGACUCAACUCACCUUGCUCCUCUUACUCACCUGAAUCCAGUGCAGGGCGAGGCACAGGGAGGCACCCUCCUCUCCAUUCUGACUUCUCUGCCGAGCCAGGUCUUCCCAGCUGCAUUCCUGUGGGUCAAAGCCAAGGAACAGCUCUCCUCUUACACUAGCAAAUCCUAUUAUGGAGUCUUUUUCUCAGCUAUAUAAUUUGU
Molecule: long non-coding RNA, 654 nt
Filed under: Mus musculus (house mouse)
Lineage: Eukaryota; Metazoa; Chordata; Mammalia; Rodentia; Muridae
Description: predicted gene, 46376
Source: RNAcentral